UUAGAAUUAGUGGGAGAGAGAGAUAAAGUUAGGGUUAGAAGAAAAUUCAGGGUAAAGCACUUCUCCACUCCCUUCCUUGGCAUAACUCUUCAACCUCCUCCAUACCCACCAAGCUCGUCCAUACCCACCAAAUAGAAUUCCACAACAUUGUAAAUUGGAGAAAGAAACCGUCUUUUGGCGCUGGUUUUUGGGAUUUUUGGCUCCAAAUGAAUGUCAGGAUAACCACUAUAUAUAUAUAUGAGAAAAAUGACUGGAAAAAAUACAUUGCAAAGUGAAGCAAAAUUUCUGAACAGGUAUGUAUCAUUUCACCUACUCUUUGUUUGAAUAAGAUUCAAUAGAUUGUAAUUGCCACAAUCAUAUAUCAAAUUAUUAAUUCAUUAAUUAUUUGUGGCAUAGACAUUGAUAUGCUUUUAUUUUGUCUCAUAUGAUCAAUCUAGAUGAGAAUAAAUCAAUUAGAAGAUUUUGAAACAGAAACUCUUUAAUUUACUGUGUAUAUUUAGAGUUUUUAGUUUACUGUGUAUAUUUAUAGUUUUGCAUGGUGUACUGAAGGGGAAAUAUUAGAUAUUAUCAUAGUAGGCAUCUAUUUUGUGUAUAUAUUGACGUUUUCUGUCUGGUUUUGAGGGAAGAGUGGAUGGAUUGUGAAAAUAUGGUAUUAAAGCUUCUGUUUGAAUCAAAUCAUGCUUCUUGGUGGCCCUUGGGAAUUUGUUUGAUCGGAUAAUGGC
Molecule: long non-coding RNA, 722 nt
Filed under: Nicotiana tabacum (common tobacco)
Lineage: Eukaryota; Viridiplantae; Streptophyta; Magnoliopsida; Solanales; Solanaceae
Description: long non-coding RNA (NTAB_LNC004865)
Source: RNAcentral